This 1946-nucleotide long non-coding RNA is filed under the name Oncorhynchus mykiss (rainbow trout). RNAcentral describes it as "lncRNA (ENSOMYG00000068453.1)". Lineage: Eukaryota; Metazoa; Chordata; Actinopteri; Salmoniformes; Salmonidae. The record is from RNAcentral.
AUGGUUGUGUUCAAAGACGACCCUUUUUGUGGGGUAAUUACUCGAAGUUUCCCUUCGGCUACAUACCUUGUUCAUAUGGAACAUGCUACUGGGAAGCGUGUUUUUUUUCCUUCUUUCGUUUCCUUCGUUUUUUUAGGUGAACCUCUGUUGCAUGGGAGACAGCGGGGAACUCUGGACUACAGAGCUAUAGUGCAUGAUGUAGGCUAUAACAACCAGUUCAGCCUGCUACCUUCCAAGUUGUUUAUUAUUUGUUGUCUGCACAAAAUGCACUGAAUAAAAUGUUUAUAUUAAGAUAUACUUUUAAAACGUGUCUUCCCCUUUCUUUUCGCACUGACGUACUCCACACACUUCUCUCUAUUCUGUUCACAGCAGAGCCAAUGCAUCAUUUCCACUAAACAUUUUUGUAAAGAUGAAGUGCAUCCCACAUUGUACAAAGUAUCAUACCAGUACAUUGAAUGUGAUACUGUACCAGUGAAUAAGAAGAUGAAAAAUCGGCACAGUUCAAUGUAGAUCAAUGAUGCAGACAGGCGUUGUAAUGUUGUAUGGCUGAUAUGUAGCUAGGCAGGGCUGGAGUACGGUAACCUAACCCUGCUGGCCCUGAGGAGUUAAUGAUCUGAGCAGAAGAAAGCCAGGCCAUGUCCUCCUCCUAUCCUCUUAUCCUAUUGGCCUCUGGACACAGAUGAAUCACCCGGAGCCACACACACACACACAACCAGGAUUGGGCUUUAAUUGCCUGCAGAGUCAAGGCUCCAGUACAGGCUUAUAUAGCACUCGAUUCACAAGCCUACAGCCAGGGCCCAUUCUAUGUAAUGAAUCAAUAUCUCCAAUGGACAUCUGGAGCUGAGGAUAUUUCCUGGAAUAGCCCAUGUGAUAGAGACACUGAUCCAAGGUCAGUUUACAAUUUUAGACCCCAAUGGGUAAAGGUACACUAUGCAGAAAUCCAUCCGCCAUUUCCUGGUUGCUAAAAUUCUAUUUGUUUGCCUAAUUUCAGUUUGUGACAAAACAAGCAAGUAUAGUGCAUAGCUGUGGGGUUAAAUGCUGGGGGUUUUCUUCACAAAAGGAGUGCACUGGGUCUUUAAUAGUCCUGUAUUAGCUGACUGAUAUAGCAGUCUGUAGCGCGGCUGUUUGAAGCUUGUGUACAAAACAGAAACUAAAAGAAGCAAAAACUAAACUUAAGAACGGGAAGCAGAGAAAUAGCGCACAUAGAACAGAUUUAACGCGUCUUAGACUUGCUUUCAAUGAGAAUGUCAGAUCUAGAAUAGAUAGAUCCAUUUUCUAUGUGAAUUUGGUCAGGUUGCCCAAAAGGUUACAUAUUGCAGCUUCAAGGUUAGGAUAUGAGAGGCAAUGUCUACUCAGAACUCAUAGCACAAUACCGCAGAAUCCUGAGCCAUUAGUAUGUUUUCUCCUCUAAACGAGGAGCCUUACACGCAGGGCACGCAGAAGCCUUGAUGUAAUUAGCCCCGGCAGAGGGUCCACUCCCAUUGGAUGGGGAAAUGUCUGACCUGCCUGGUGGAACACUCCAGUUAGGCAAUAUGUUUUGCAUCCAUGCUUGUCUGUGGAACGUAAUGCGGCGCUAAUGCUAAUUGGGAGGCUAAAGUUUACCGUGUGCUUCCCAGCUGAAACAGUUUUUAUGAGGAAAUGUUAUGACGUUUUUGUUCGGUUUGGUCUUCGGCAGGUUUACCGUCGUCAGUGAUUGGUCAACAGUACUACUCCUAGUGUUUGUUUUCAUUCAAGGAGAGAUGACUCGUUUUCAUGCACAUUUGUCCACUUGAGAAAUCGAGACGUUGGGACUAUACGCUUUAAUCUGCUCAAAGCAUACUUCUGAGACAUUUAGCAUCAAGGUUUUCCCAUCCCAGAUCUCAGAACUGUUUUGUAGUGAUUGUUUUUUAGGGGGGCAGAUAGAACCUUAUGGUUCUGAAAUGUCAAUCUGCGUUCAGCCAUGAGAU